UGGGGAAUAUUGGACAAUGGGGGACCGUAGCAUCCAGCCAUGCCGCGCUGUGUGAAGAAGGCCUUUUGGUUGUAAAGCACUUUAAGCAGGGAGGAGAGGCUAAUGGUUAAUACCCAUUAGAUUAGACGUUACCUGCAGAAUAAGCACCGGCUAACUCUGUGCCAGCAGCCGCGGUAAUACAGAGGGUGCGAGCGUUAAUCGGAAUUACUGGGCGUAAAGCGAGUGUAGGUGGCUCAUUAAGUCACAUGUGAAAUCCCCGGGCUUAACCUGGGAACUGCAUGUGAUACUGGUGGUGCUAGAAUAUGUGAGAGGGAAGUAGAAUUCCAGGUGUAGCGGUGAAAUGCGUUAGAGAUCUGGAGGAAUACCGAUGGCGAAGGCAGCUUCCUGGCAUAAUAUUGACACUGAG
RNAcentral lists this ribosomal RNA (406 nucleotides) under uncultured Enhydrobacter sp. RNAcentral describes it as "bacterial SSU rRNA". It matches the Rfam family "Bacterial small subunit ribosomal RNA", at positions 355 to 750 of the family's 1533-position model. Lineage: Bacteria; Pseudomonadati; Pseudomonadota; Alphaproteobacteria; Hyphomicrobiales. The record is from RNAcentral.